RNAcentral lists this ribosomal RNA (1289 nucleotides) under Klebsiella pneumoniae. RNAcentral describes it as "partial 23S ribosomal RNA". It matches the Rfam family "Bacterial large subunit ribosomal RNA", at positions 717 to 1988 of the family's 2925-position model. Lineage: Bacteria; Pseudomonadati; Pseudomonadota; Gammaproteobacteria; Enterobacterales; Enterobacteriaceae. The record is from RNAcentral.
GAAACCCGGUGAUCUAGCCAUGGGCAGGUUGAAGGUUGGGUAACACUAACUGGAGGACCGAACCGACUAAUGUUGAAAAAUUAGCGGAUGACUUGUGGCUGGGGGUGAAAGGCCAAUCAAACCGGGAGAUAGCUGGUUCUCCCCGAAAGCUAUUUAGGUAGCGCCUCGUGAACUCAUCUUCGGGGGUAGAGCACUGUUUCGGCUAGGGGGUCAUCCCGACUUACCAACCCGAUGCAAACUACGAAUACCGAAGAAUGUUAUCACGGGAGACACACGGCGGGUGCUAACGUCCGUCGUGAAGAGGGAAACAACCCAGACCGCCAGCUAAGGUCCCAAAGUCAUGGUUAAGUGGGAAACGAUGUGGGAAGGCACAGACAGCCAGGAUGUUGGCUUAGAAGCAGCCAUCAUUUAAAGAAAGCGUAAUAGCUCACUGGUCGAGUCGGCCUGCGCGGAAGAUGUAACGGGGCUAAACCAUGCACCGAAGCUGCGGCAGCGACACUAUGUGUUGUUGGGUAGGGGAGCGUUCUGUAAGCCUGCGAAGGUGUGCUGUGAGGCAUGCUGGAGGUAUCAGAAGUGCGAAUGCUGACAUAAGUAACGAUAAAGCGGGUGAAAAGCCCGCUCGCCGGAAGACCAAGGGUUCCUGUCCAACGUUAAUCGGGGCAGGGUGAGUCGACCCCUAAGGCGAGGCCGAAAGGCGUAGUCGAUGGGAAACAGGUUAAUAUUCCUGUACUUGGUGUUACUGCGAAGGGGGGACGGAGAAGGCUAUGUUAGCCGGGCGACGGUUGUCCCGGUUUAAGCAUGUAGGCUGGUUGUCCAGGCAAAUCCGGAUAAUCAAGGCUGAGGUGUGAUGACGAGGCACUACGGUGCUGAAGUAACAAAUGCCCUGCUUCCAGGAAAAGCCUCUAAGCAUCAGGUAACAUUAAAUCGUACCCCAAACCGACACAGGUGGUCAGGUAGAGAAUACCAAGGCGCUUGAGAGAACUCGGGUGAAGGAACUAGGCAAAAUGGUGCCGUAACUUCGGGAGAAGGCACGCUGGUGUGUAGGUGAAGCCCCUGCGGGUGGAGCUGAGACCAGUCGAAGAUACCAGCUGGCUGCAACUGUUUAUUAAAAACACAGCACUGUGCAAACACGAAAGUGGACGUAUACGGUGUGACGCCUGCCCGGUGCCGGAAGGUUAAUUGAUGGGGUUAUCCGUAAGGAGAAGCUCUUGAUCGAAGCCCCGGUAAACGGCGGCCGUAACUAUAACGGUCCUAAGGUAGCGAAAUUCCUUGUCGGGUAAGUUCCGACC